This 1023-nucleotide ribosomal RNA is filed under the name Massarina eburnea. RNAcentral's name for it is "SSU rRNA". It matches the Rfam family "Eukaryotic small subunit ribosomal RNA", at positions 84 to 1116 of the family's 1831-position model. The record is from RNAcentral. Lineage: Eukaryota; Fungi; Ascomycota; Dothideomycetes; Pleosporales; Massarinaceae.
AAACUGCGAAUGGCUCAUUAAAUCAGUUAUCGUUUAUUUGAUAGUACCUUACUACAUGGAUACCUGUGGUAAUUCUAGAGCUAAUACAUGCUAAAAACCCCGACUUCGGAAGGGGUGUGUUUAUUAGAUAAAAAACCAAUGCCCUUCGGGGCUCCUUGGUGAUUCAUAAUAACCUCUCAGAUCGCAUAGCCUUGAGCUGGCGACGGUUCAUUCAAAUUUCUGCCCUAUCAACUUUCGAUGGUAAGGUAUUGGCUUACCAUGGUUUCUACGGGUAACGGGGAAUUAGGGUUCGAUUCCGGAGAGUUAGCCUGAGAAACGGCUAACACAUCCAAGGAAGGCAGCAGGCGCGCAAAUUACCCAAUCCUGAUACAGGGAGGUAGUGACAAUAAAUACUGAUAGGGAGCUCUUUUGGGUUUCCUAAUUGGAAUGAGUACAAUUUAAACCUCUUAACGAGGAACAAUUGGAGGGCAAGUCUGGUGCCAGCAGCCGCGGUAAUUCCAGCUCCAAUAGCGUAUAUUAAAGUUGUUGCAGUUAAAAAGCUCGUAGUUGAACCUUUGGCCUGGCUGGCAGGUCCGCCUCACCGCGUGCACUUGUCCGGCCGGGCCUUUUUUUCUGGAGAACCGCAUGCUCUUCACUGGGUGUGUUGGGGACCAGGACUUUUACUUUGAAAAAAUUAGAGUGUUCAAAGCAGGCCUUUGCUCGAAUAUUACAGCAUGGAAUAAUAGAAUAGGACGUCGGUUCUAUUUUGUUGGUUUCUAGGACCGCCGUAAUGAUUAAUAGGGACAGUCGGGGGCAUUAGUAUUCAAUGGUCAGAGGUGAAAUUCUUGGAUUCUUUGAAGACUAACUACUGCGAAAGCAUUUGCCAAGGAUGUUUUCAUUAAUCAGUGAACGAAAGUUAGGGGAUCGAAGACGAUCAGAUACCGUCGUAGUCUUAACCAUCAACUAUGCCGACUAGGGAUCGGGCGGUGUUAUUAUUUUGACUCGCUCGGCACCUUACGAGAAAUCAUAAGUGUUUGGGUUCUG